RNAcentral lists this transfer RNA (86 nucleotides) under Phycisphaerales bacterium. Its description in RNAcentral is "tRNA-Leu". It matches the Rfam family "tRNA". From Rfam's summary of the family: Transfer RNA (tRNA) molecules are approximately 80 nucleotides in length. Their secondary structure includes four short double-helical elements and three loops (D, anti-codon, and T loops). Further hydrogen bonds mediate the characteristic L-shaped molecular structure. tRNAs have two regions of fundamental functional importance: the anti-codon, which is responsible for specific mRNA codon recognition, and the 3' end, to which the tRNAs corresponding amino acid is attached (by aminoacyl-tRNA synthetases). tRNAs cope with the degeneracy of the genetic code in two manners: having more than one tRNA (with a specific anti-codon) for a particular amino acid; and 'wobble' base-pairing, i.e. permitting non-standard base-pairing at the 3rd anti-codon position. The record is from RNAcentral. Lineage: Bacteria; Pseudomonadati; Planctomycetota; Phycisphaerae; Phycisphaerales.
GCCGAAGUGGCGGAAUUGGCAGACGCGCCGGAUUCAAAAUCCGGUUCUGGGGAACCAGAGUGGGGGUUCGACUCCCCCCUUCGGCA